CUACGGGCCGCUGCAGUGGGGAAUAUUGCACAAUGGAGGAAACUCUGAUGCAGCAACGCCGCGUGGAGGAUGACACUUUUCGGAGCGUAAACUCCUUUUAUAUAGGAAGAAGAUGACGGUACUAUAUGAAUAAGCGCCGGCUAACUCCGUGCCAGCAGCCGCGGUAAUACGGAGGGCGCAAGCGUUACUCGGAAUCACUGGGCGUAAAGAGCGUGUAGGCGGAUUAAAAAGUCAGAAGUGAAAUCCUAUAGCUUAACUAUAGAACUGCUUCUGAAACUCUUAAUCUAGAAUAUGGGAGAGGUAGAUGGAAUUUCUGGUGUAGGGGUAAAAUCCGUAGAGAUCAGAAGGAAUACCGAUUGCGAAGGCGAUCUACUAGAACAUUAUUGACGCUGAGACGCGAAAGCGUGGGGAGCAAACAGGAUUAGAUACCCGAGUAGUC
Molecule: ribosomal RNA, 439 nt
Filed under: uncultured bacterium
Lineage: Bacteria
Description: partial 16S ribosomal RNA
Rfam family: Bacterial small subunit ribosomal RNA
Source: RNAcentral